This 301-nucleotide ribosomal RNA is filed under the name uncultured bacterium. RNAcentral's name for it is "partial 16S ribosomal RNA". It matches the Rfam family "Bacterial small subunit ribosomal RNA", at positions 509 to 808 of the family's 1533-position model. The record is from RNAcentral.
CAGCAGCCGCGGUAAUACGGAGGGUGCAAGCGUUAAUCGGAAUUACUGGGCGUAAAGCGCACGCAGGCGGUUUGUUAAGUCAGAUGUGAAACCCCCGAGCUUAACUUGGGAACUGCAUUUGAAACUGGCAAGCUAGAGUCUUGUAGAGGGGGGGUAGAAUUCCAGGUGUAGCGGUGAAAUGCGUAGAGAUCUGGAGGAAUACCGGUGGCGAAGGCGGCCCCCUGGACGAAGACUGACGCUCAGGUACGAAAGCGUGGGGAGCAAACAGGAUUAGAUACCCGCGUAGUCCCUGUCUCUUAUU